UGCCAGCCGCCGCGGUAAUACGGAGGGUGCAAGCGUUGUCCGGAAUCAUUGGGUGUAAAGGGUACGUAGGCGGGAGCCUAAGUCUGGGGUGAAAUCUUGCCGCUUAACGGUAAAAUGGCCCUGGAUACUGGGUUUCUUGAGUGCAGAAGAGGCAGGUGGAAUUCGUGGUGUAGCGGUGAAAUGCUUAGAUAUCACGAAGAACAUCAGUGGCGAAGGCGGCCUGCUGGUCUGCAACUGACGCUGAGGUACGAAAGCGUGGGGAGCGAACAGGAUUAGAUA
RNAcentral lists this ribosomal RNA (279 nucleotides) under uncultured bacterium. RNAcentral describes it as "partial 16S ribosomal RNA". It matches the Rfam family "Bacterial small subunit ribosomal RNA", at positions 506 to 784 of the family's 1533-position model. The record is from RNAcentral.